GAACGGUAACAGGAAGCAGCUUGCUGCUUUGCUGACGAGUGGCGGACGGGUGAGUAAUGUCUGGGAAACUGCCUGAUGGAGGGGGAUAACUACUGGAAACGGUAGCUAAUACCGCAUAACGUCGCAAGACCAAAGAGGGGGACCUUCGGGCCUCUUGCCAUCGGAUGUGCCCAGAUGGGAUUAGCUAGUAGGUGGGGUAAAGGCUCACCUAGGCGACGAUCCCUAGCUGGUCUGAGAGGAUGACCAGCCACACUGGAACUGAGACACGGUCCAGACUCCUACGGGAGGCAGCAGUGGGGAAUAUUGCACAAUGGGCGCAAGCCUGAUGCAGCCAUGCCGCGUGUAUGAAGAAGGCCUUCGGGUUGUAAAGUACUUUCAGCGGGGAGGAAGGGAGUAAAGUUAAUACCUUUGCUCAUUGACGUUACCCGCAGAAGAAGCACCGGCUAACUCCGUGCCAGCAGCCGCGGUAAUACGGAGGGUGCAAGCGUUAAUCGGAAUUACUGGGCGUAAAGCGCACGCAGGCGGUUUGUUAAGUCAGAUGUGAAAUCCCCGGGCUCAACCUGGGAACUGCAUCUGAUACUGGCAAGCUUGAGUCUCGUAGAGGGGGGUAGAAUUCCAGGUGUAGCGGUGAAAUGCGUAGAGAUCUGGAGGAAUACCGGUGGCGAAGGCG
This 670-nucleotide ribosomal RNA is filed under the name uncultured Escherichia sp. Its description in RNAcentral is "bacterial SSU rRNA". It matches the Rfam family "Bacterial small subunit ribosomal RNA", at positions 64 to 723 of the family's 1533-position model. The record is from RNAcentral. Lineage: Bacteria; Pseudomonadati; Pseudomonadota; Gammaproteobacteria; Enterobacterales; Enterobacteriaceae.